Molecule: long non-coding RNA, 1032 nt
Organism: Aedes aegypti (yellow fever mosquito)
Lineage: Eukaryota; Metazoa; Arthropoda; Insecta; Diptera; Culicidae
Exons: 3
Source: RefSeq, a predicted model, not a curated record
AGGACCCAAUUAUGACAUCCAUUGCGUUUUUGAUCUUAAUGCAUUGCGCAGCAUAUGAAAUAUGCGCUAUAAACAUAAGUUUUAUACUAUGCCAUGCAUUUUUGAAAAUUAUUAUUUUGUGUGGAUUUUGGCCUUUUUUGCUUACACUUGGGACUUGGUGAUUUUUCAUUUUGUAGUUUCAUCAGCAGGCUCUCGCGUGGAGGUAGAAUUUCGUAGCUAUUAAUUCGCGAGUUUUUUCGGAUAUUUGUCGGUGCUAUGAACCCAAGUAUCCCCCGACCAACAGGAUAUUAGGAAGGAAAAGACAAGGCUUCCGAGGAUCAACAACAGACGUGGCCAAGAUGGCAGAUGAAGAACAGUAGUUCUAAAGGCGACGUUGAGAAUAUUGUUAAGUUAAAGCGGAUUUCACCCCCUACCCUACAGCGUACUGUGGGAAGGCUUGACCACGGAGAUGCCCACCAGGUACACAGUGGUACCGAACAAACUACCGGGGGAAUUUCGGUACACGUUCACGGGAAUAAUACGGAACAACACAAAGUUGCGUUUUCUCGUCGCGGCGGUCGGUUUAUUACAAUUAUAACAUAAAAACAACAAACAACAUACAUACGAAUCACAGGGUCGGCGCAAGGCAAUGAUGAUAAACAUCGUCAACAUAAAACAGACUGGUCCAAAUUACAACACUCCUCCUCGAUGUAUUCAUCACUUGUCUUCACAGUUACACAAAGUCUUGAAAAGUUCUCAUUGGACAACACAGUCUACACAAAGUUCCUCCUCUUGCACCGAACACUCCUGCUUCGUCAAGUAUACCACAAAGUUCACCAAGUUCACAGACUAUCCACGAUGUAACACUUAGCAUUGGUUUCCCUCGUCAUAACAGUCAUAAAAUUCUUCUUCUUGGUGGCACUCCUCCUCAACGAGAUGCCCAGCUGCAGUUUUCCGGCGGUUGCCGCUCUUCCUCACUUCUGCAGUCUUUAGAGCGUACCACAAAGUUCUGCCACAGCUUGCAUUUCUCCGCUACGACUCACAAUCUGGCAC